This 586-nucleotide long non-coding RNA is filed under the name Helianthus annuus (common sunflower). RNAcentral describes it as "sRNA HanXRQr2_Chr08g0350421". The record is from RNAcentral. Lineage: Eukaryota; Viridiplantae; Streptophyta; Magnoliopsida; Asterales; Asteraceae.
GGACGAGAUGCUGAUUUAAAAUAGGCAACCGGAGAGCGUGGCUCGAUCUUGUAGUUUCUACAGUACGGCAGCCAAUGCUUGGAGAACAUGGUAGCUUGAGUGAGAGCAUAGAAGGUAAGUUCAGAGCCACCAUCGUCCGAGAGAUAGACGGAGAGCUUCUCCGGAGGGUAGUCAUACGCCAUUACGGAUAAAACAGUGCUGACCACCAUCAUCGGUGGCUCGAUUUUGGGGUCAGCCGUGCAUACAAAUAUGUCCACCCGCGGCAGUUGGUUUAACCUUUGAGAGAGUCGUUGUUUGAAGGUGCGCCGGUACGUGGGAUUCCAUCGAACCGAUUGAGUCAACACCCAAUACAGACCCAACCAUAGCUCCGCCAUAAACAUCCCCGUCCACCACCAGCUCCGCCCACCGGAAACUGCCGUUGAUGGUGGCUGUUGUGUUGCUCUGUAUACCCAUAUCCAUAUAAUACUCACCAACACCGUCGUUGCAAACACCCUGUGUAGCUUCCUCCCUUUUGCUCUCUGUGUUUCAAAUAAUGGACUAUUUUCACCACCCAUUGUUUUCUCUGUUUAGAAUCUACCCAUGCAGG